Molecule: non-coding RNA, 5064 nt
Organism: Meleagris gallopavo (turkey)
Lineage: Eukaryota; Metazoa; Chordata; Aves; Galliformes; Phasianidae
Source: RefSeq, a predicted model, not a curated record
AAAAAAAGCUACAAAUGCUUUUCUCUGCAAUAAACAACAUAUUUUAGUGAUCUCAUAAUUGAAGUUGUGGAUUCUUCCUCCUGGCAUUAACCACAUGUAAAAAUGUAUCUUUGUGAGGACAGUGAUUGCACAGCUGGAGCAUGGUUUUAAUGGAUUCCAGCUAUUUGAAUAUGUACCACGUAAGAUCAUACAGCGUUUAUGUGAAAAUCAAUGUAAAAUGUACCUAUCCUAGUACUGAGGAUAAUCUGAAGAGUGUUCAUCUCCACACAUGAUCUACUUGAAAAUGAACAGCUUCAAUUUCAAUAAUGAUUUGCUACACUAUAGUAUAUAAUAUAAUAGUAUAGAGCCUGGCUUUCUUACAGCGCUUUUCAUGAGCAACUCAGGGAUCUUUUAUUGUUUUCAGUUUCCUCAGACAGAACUUUUACUCUUUCUCAUUCAGUAAUUUCUAGAAAAGGAGGGAGUUCUUGGGGGAGGAGAGCAUCGCUAUCUGCAUGAAAUGAGGGGAUAUUAAGUCCUAAUGCAGUAGAUACCUUUCACAGUAUACCACCCUUUGUCGUAGGUCCCUCUGAUUAAUUGCAAAUGUAUUCAGGGGAGCAGAGCAGACAUUGUAGUGAGAGUCCAAAUGUGCUUGUACCAAAAAUGCCAGCCCUCCCACACUUGCUAGCAUUGGUGAAGCUGCAGGAGUAAGAAUGCUUAUGUGGGAGAUUUUUAGGAGGGAAAUGAACUGUGGAGAAAAUUUUAAAGCUGCAGCUUUUAAAAGAGCAGCCUGAAUGAGUGUGCCUGAACUGAGGCAAGCUGCAGAGCAGGGCAGUACACGAAGUGUGCUCUGCCUAGCAAUUGUUUUGCAAAUGCACAAAGUACAUUAUUAACUCACAGGCCAGUCUUUUGGGAAGAGGCUUGUGCACAUUUGGCAAUAACAUCAUGCUAAGAUUGUUUUCCACAAGUGUCUGAGAAUUUAAAAAAAGCAAACGAUUUGGAACCACUUGUGUGAUGCCUUGUGUCAUAUUGUUGCUCCCCAGACAAGGAUUCAGAUGCCAGUUCUCCGGGGGAAUUCAGGUAUGCUCCCCUAAAACCAUUGUGCUGUGUUUCAAGCGCCUUCUCUGACCAUGCAAUAUUGCCAGCCUCACAGACACAACCAACAUUGAAAGAGAAUUUGAAUACGAAGAGAAAGGUAGCAUUCUCAUAUAAUCAUUUGUGAUAAAGCUGUUUGGGAUAUAAAACUUAUUUUGUAGUCUCCAAACUGCAGAUUUUACAAAACUAGGAAAAAAAAAGAAAUCUAAAGCAUGAAUGAGAGAAUCUGCUUUACAUCUAACAGUCACGUUUUUAGGUGAAAACCCUCUGAAAGAAACACACUGUAUGUAUGUGGCAAUAUUUUCGGUUUCAUACUUGCUGUGAUUUAUUCUUUGCACUAAAUGCUAUAGUAAUUGGGUUUCAGAUGCAGCAGUGCUUACGUAUGAGCAAUGAAAAAGAAACUAACAGAGCGUUCACUUGCUUCACCCAUCUGCUGCCCUGGUAAAGCAGUGGGCCUUCUCCUAUUGCACUGAAAAGAAAGCCCCCACUUCUAGGGAGAUAAAUGAUAUUUACGCUGAAAUAUCUAUCAGUAUCCAAGUUAGAUCCCCAGUAAGUCACAACUAUGAAACUGUAAAACCAGUGAGAUGGAAAAGCAAUCCGAUAGCUCUUAAACUGCUCUUUCUUCCAGACGGUGCCCAGGACGCCAGCUGUUGCCCCGGUUGAAACAGUGGUUGGGAGUUUUGAAGCCUGAAUUCUUUUCUUAAAAGAAUUUCCUUAGACUGCUAAAAGCUGGUGUCAGAAACUCAGAUGAGCGGAUUUAAAAAUAGAUUUGACACAAUUAUGUCAUAACUGCAUCUUUAUUUGUAAAGAAAUGUUAAAUUACAUUUUACAAUCUGCAUGAGGAAUCUGCAAAUGCACCCACAGGCCUUCUCACUGUUGCACAUAGUACUUUUUUUUCCACCUUAUUAUAUCUCGAUUCCUCUUUUGGCAAUUAUUUUGCAUCAUGCUCAGCACACUUUUCCACACACCACUUGGAUUUUCAUUUGCUAAUGCAAAUGCAUCUUAAAAUAUCAUCUUCCCAAGUUAUUAGAUCCAGGGCUUGAUGACGCAUACUGGGCUUAGUUGAAGCAUCAGGGUAGCAAAGAAAGACCAAGACAUGAAGGAGCGCCAAGUAAAUAUUGACAUACUGAUUUUAUGACUAAGCUAUGAUUAUUUUUUAACUUGCCUAUGCUUUCAGAAAUGAAGGGAGAAAGUUUGAAAAGUAGAGUAAUAUUUUUAUAUGGUCAAGAAAUGACCAUGUACUAUGAUCAUAGAUCUUUCUACACAAGAAAUCAGUCAAAAAAAUAAAAAUAAAAAAAAUCAGAACAACAAAAAAGAAAUUAUCCUACAAUGGGACAGGUCUGGUAUGUUUAAAUGUCACAUCAGUACUUUCCAUGUCUGCAUAUGUAAUUUGAGAUUAAAUGUGAUAUGGAUAAAAUUAAAAACAUCAUAUUUUCUAACUAUUUACCAAGCAUUUAUGUGGUAAAAAAUUGUUUCCCUUUUAGCAGUUAGAUUGCUAGUAAUAAAUUUCUGUAUCCCUGCCAUGAUAAUGUUUGUCCUCAAAGAUGGUUGUAAUGCUGUAUCAUCCCCUAUAAGCUGCAGCAGUAUGAAUAGGGCUGAAUUUGGGCCUGCAGCAUGUAGUUAAUCACUCUGCCAUUAAGAGAGCUGAUACCUUCCUGCCCCCUCCUCUACCUCAGUGCCAGAAGGAAAAGGCAACUCGAAGUCAAACUUCUCAAUUGUAAUUCUGGAAAGACUUUCUAUGCAAGAAGUUGCCAUUUGCACAAUCAUCCUUUUCCUCUUUGAGCUGCCAACAGCCAGAAAGUACCAAGCCCUUCUCUCUGCCUUGCAGGGUGAGGAAUCUCAAACAUGGCUUUGGUUGCUGUGCCCUACUGUUUUAACCCAUUGAGGUAUUUUCUAAAGAUGGUCUUAUUUCCAUGUGCUUGGCUGGUGUUAUGGUGACCAUGAGUGCAUGUAUCAAGUUACUGGUAUGGGAGUAGCCCUGCCAGGAAACCAGAGGGCACGUUCAGUGCAAACUGUUUUUAGAAGCCUAAAUAGGCACAGCUCUAAGUUGGAUGCCUGCUGUGUUAAUAAAAGGACUCCACAUUACUUCUGUCCAACCCACCUCCUGAACAUGGCAGAACACAGCCUGUAUCUGUGGAAAGGAUUACUCCUGGACUGAUACCAGACUUGGCUAACUGGCCCUUACUGCAUCAUGUAAAUAGCAGUAUUCUUAAACUUGGCUUAGACAGUUGGAAUCUUGAGCUUGGGUUCUGCCAGAAUUCAGGGAGAGGACUUCUUAAAAACCUGAAAAGAGAGCAAAAUGAAACCUAACAAAAAUAUAUAUAUAUAAUAAAAAAAAUAAAAGACCCUCCUAACUUAGGAAAUUUUAAUUAACACAAUGUAAUCAACUUGUUCUGCAGGUUAAAGUAAAAAUGACGAGCAGAGGGAAAGCUUUCCCUACUUCCUAUCUUCGUGACAGUGAAAGAGAUCUAUUCUUUGCUUCCUGAAGGGAAGAAAGUGAUCUGCCACAGGAAAAUCAAGUUAGCAAGGUAUUCUACACAGAGCUUCUGUUUUCCACAUGAAACCUGGAUAUGAUACUAUGUUCAAGAUCGCACACUGCAAAUUUCCUACAAAGAGCUCUGGGAUGGAGGAAAUCCUAGUCAUGCCUUGCCUCAUUCCAUAUAGAUGCACUAAGGCUAAUUUCAAUUACUGUUGUAUUAUGUUGAAUAAUUAAGUCUAUGUAACGUCAUUAUGUAUGCAUGCAUUAUACUUAUGUUCUCCAAACAAAGGUGUGUCUGUUAGCAUAUGUACCAGACUGCACUUACACGGAAGACAAAUUGUAUUUAUUCUAUACUAAUUAACACUGCAGGCGGAAUAUCUCACUGUUUAAAAUAUCUCAAAUGUCCAUUUUUAGAAUCUAAAUACAUACAUACAGAUUCUUUUUGCUUUGACAAUUGUAUUUUAUCUCCUUUCAAUAAGUUUGUUCAAGUACUAUCUUGUGUACCUUCAGUCUGAAUGUCAUUAUUGUAUUUCUGUUUCUACUUAAAUCAAAUUAAUCAAUUGAAUUAAUCGGUUUCAAAAUGGAAAGCAAACAAUGCUGCUAAAUUUCCAGGGACUUAGGGGAGCAAAAUUUGACAGGAGUUGGGUCUACAGGUGCUGGUUUCAUUGGCAGUCUCCUUUAUUUAUAGUUUGGUUUUCCUUAGCUGCUUGUUUCAGAUUAACAUUACACAUUAAGGAUGAAGUGUGGCCACCAGUGAGAUUUUACUAUUGAGUGUAACUUGUUCAGAAAUAUUGCUUGAGAUACAUAGUCUUUGCCAUUCUAUUCUUACACUGGAACAUUUCUGCCUUAAAACAUACAUACAUAGAAGUGGCUAGGAACAAAAUCGCAAUGGUGUUUUUGUCUUUAAUAUUAAACCUUGUUGCUUUAAGGGACACCCUGAACAAAACGAGGCCAAAAACUUGACCUAUUUUAAAAGACACGGCAAUCUGUUCUUUUAAAAAAUCAUUCACACUUCAUUGAGUCCUUCUCUCUCUCUUACACCAUGAAAAAUAUCCUACAAUAUCAACAUUCAGAACUAUUCUAUCUCUGUACAUAGUUUUCUGAACACGUAUUGCAAGCUGAGGUCUCCAGUUUGACAAUUUAAUUUUUCUCCAUCACUGAUUUUGGAAAAGAAAUCAUCUUAAAAAUUAGCAAAUGCUUAAACUGAACUAAUUAGCUAAUUAAAAUAACUAUAUCAGAGCACUUUCUCUCUAGUGUUAACUGUGAUGAAUCCAUUUGGCAGCCAAAAGGUCUUAGAAUCCAUAAAAGAUUUUUGAUUCUAGAGGCUUCCAUGUUUUGAAUUUGAAAACUAGGAGCAGAGAGCCAUAUUUCUCAGUUAUUUUGUAGUUUGAAAUCUGGCUGUGAAACUCUGUUUACUUUGUGUUGGACUUCUGCCAGAGGAGGCCUGGUUUUAGCAGAUGGCUGUGGAGUGGAGGCCAGACGUUUCCUGCUGCAUCCUGAUCAGGCACCAAUAA